UAGAAACAUUAUAUAAACACAAUAACCUACACACAAAACUUGACCCGCAAGAGCCAUUAGAUUUUUCCUAAGAACCUACAGCUGCAAGAACCCUUCUUCUGGAAGCAGCCUAGACGUAGAACACUAAUCAGUAGUCACACACCUACUGAUUAGUGUGACUUCAUCUUCUCUAAUCAUCCUCCCCAUAAGAGACAAAAAUGAUUACAUACAAAGGGUCAAAAUUAAGGAUGGCAUAGACACACAUCCCAUGCACGAUUUGGAGGUCAAAAAUAAAAGAUACUCACCGGUCACUAAACCCACCUGAAUUAGCCGCAUUCCAGCACUAAAAUACCAUGAAACCACCAUUUUCAGAUAGAAUCGAGGUCGUCGAUUGAGGUUUUUUCGGCUAGCAGUCUCCUUCGGAGCUGUAUCUGGACUCUUUCUUAAAUCAAAGUUCGGAAGAAAAUUUUGAGCGACAAAAGAUUUACAGGCUCGGAAGGUAGACUUUGAGUGGCUAAAUAAGCAGCAAGGUAUGUUAAGGUUAUCCCUUUCUUUCUUAAGACAUGAUCCUACUGUUAUGAACUUUCACAAAUGAUUCCUCUCAUAGAAAUGCUAGAAGCUUAUAUUCUUGAUGUUCUCUUAUGAUAUCAUUGAUGUUUACCUCAUCUUAUGAUUAUUGUUCCUUCAAGGUGAGAUAUGUUCAUGAUGAUAGCUCCAUACUGAUAAUAGGAGGUACAACGACCUUACGUCACUCCGAUGAAUUUAGAAAUGUGUUCUCAAGGAGUGUGUUGUAAGACAUGAAUAGUAUGCUAGUUAUAAGAUUCUCUAAUGAGGUACUUAACGUUAGAAGGAAGGAUUAUGAUGUAUCUAGAAAUUGAUUAAGGAUUAGUUAAUCAGGAAGAAGUCUUAAUGGCCCGAAAAUGUGUUUAUAAGUCUUAUGUGAUCAUGUAGGCAUCAACAGAUAAGUAGUGACCAUCACGGGUGUAUAAGAGUUACUAUGUUAGUUAUAAGAUCUGUAAGAGGGCAUAUGCUAUUAGAAAGUAAAGCUCAUGAUGUAUUUGUCAGGUAGUCAAGGUUGGGUCAAUUCAGAAGGUGUUCUAACAAUUUAGAAGUACGUUUAUAAGACUAAGGGUUACAUAGAAACUAGUAGAUAAAGAACGAACGCUAGAAGUAUAUAAAGGGUACCCAUAGGGGAUAUUGUGCAUAUGCUUUUAUAUCCGGAUCGGGUUGAACGUUCUGCAACACAUGCUUUCAUAUCUAGAUUGGGUUGCACGUUCCACAACACAUGCAUUCAUAUUUACCACUGGUCGAUGGCCAGUUGGGCAGUUAUUACCACCUACUACGACUGGUCGGGUAGAUAUGUAUUUACCACCAUGCUACGACUGGUUAGGAAGUUAUUACCACCAAGCUACGACCGGUUGGGCAGUUACCACUGAUCAAUGGGGCAGUGCGCUCUACCAUCAGGCGAUAAUCAGAUGGGUAGUUACCACCGUGCUAUGGUCGAUCGGGCAGUUAUCACUGAUCAGUUGGGCAGAUAGGACUAGGAUGGUAAGUAGGUCAGAGACACUGUAUUGUACAUAGAUGUAGUUAAGCACAGUAGAGAAUAGAGAGACAUACAUGCUAGAUUCGCAUUGGUAAGUCAGAAAUGCCAGGUUGAUUCUUAUCCUUCUUCUUUGCAGUAUAUGUUUAUUAUGUUACAUUUUUUGUCUUACAUACUCGGUACAUUUUCGUACUGACGUCCUUUUAUUAGGGGCGCUGCCUUUCAUACCCGCAGGUCUUGAGAUACAGGUUGACAGAUCUCUCAGUAGCUCAGUAGGCAGUGUCGUGGCAGUCCACUUGCUGCAAAGUUGCUUUGUGAGUCAGCAUGAUUGCAUAUGCCUUUGCAUGGGUAUAACGGGGCCCUGUCCCGACCACGUUAUGUCAUGUACUCCAGUAGAAGCUUGUAGACCAUAUAUACAGUUAGAUGUAUGUGACAGUCUGGUCCAGCUUGUAUACUUGGGAUUAGUUUGAUGAUGUAUGUAUAUUAUGUUUUGGGCUUGUGUCUCAUACAACUUAUGUAUAUAUGAGUUAGCAUUAUGGCCCACUCAGCUAUGACUAGGAGUUGUAUGUAUGUGGUGCUCGGAAGGUUAGCUCCGGGUGCCCGUCAUGGCCCUCCGGUUGGAUUGUGACAUGCGGUCUCCACUUAAUCUCCCAAACGCGCAGGUGUGAGAAAGCGUACGCAUAUGCGGCUCUCCCCAAGCCCACCAUAUCUCGCAUCUGCGGACCAAACCCGUAAAGGCAGGCCCGUAGGUGCGGUCGCAUAUCGCAGGUGCUGUCACACCAGAAACUAGAAAUUUUUUGUUUUCACUAUGUCCGGUCCAACACCUAGAACUCAUUUGGAACCCCACGAACACAAAUCAAACAUGUUAACUCAUCAGAAAUCACGCUACGAAUUCCCUUACGCACUCGAAUUUUCAAAAAAGAGGUUGCCUUGAUCGGGUGUUGACCCAAGUCAACUCCAACCAACCCAAAACCAAGCUUCCAACCAACGACCCAAAACCCAAAAGGAUGCCUUAGGACCUGAUAAGUUGUGUAUUUUUGGCUUUUUAUGACCACUACUUAUCUCUUUUUGGGAGUCUUUUGAAGCGUUUGUCUGUAUUUCUACUAGGUUGUUUCAUGUUUUCAGGUUUUUGAGUCAAGGACGCAAAAAGGACAAAAUGAUGAGAAAAAGAGAAAAAUGUUGACAUGCGAUGAGUAUGCGGACGCAUGUCUGUCAUGCGUCCGCAUACUCGGCAUCAGAAGAACUAGUGAGCAACACAGUUUUCACAAAUAUGCGACGAAUAUGCAGGACCACAAACUUGAUGUGCGGUCGCAUAUUUAUCCUUCCACGAGCCAGUGAGUGGAGCGAACUGAGCAAGAGUGCAAAGAGUAUGCGGCUCCGCCAACUAAUUUGGCGCUCGCAUAAUCCCAUGGGAGACAACAAAAAUGCGGCGAUCAACAGAGAGUAUGCGGGCGCACACUCAGUAUGCGGCCACACACUUGCCCUGCACGAGUGCAUUAAAAGCCAGUUUUUCACUUUUUGUCCCCCAUCUAUAAAUACUAGUCCUUGGUUGCUGUGUUGGACAUUGAAUAUUCCCUACUUUUCAGUUUCUAUUGUCUUUUAGCUCUAAAGUGGAGCAUUGAAUACUAUUAUUGUGGAAGCUUUUAAAGAAGAUUCUCCAUCUUUUUGUCA
Molecule: long non-coding RNA, 3190 nt
Organism: Lycium barbarum (goji berry)
Lineage: Eukaryota; Viridiplantae; Streptophyta; Magnoliopsida; Solanales; Solanaceae
Exons: 2
Source: RefSeq, a predicted model, not a curated record